GAUGAGAACGUAGCGAAAUGCGAUAAGUAGUGUGAAUUGCAGAAUUCAGUGAAUCAUCGAAUCUUUGAACGCACAUUGCGCCCCUUGGUAUUCCAUGGGGCAUGCCUGUUCGAGCGUCAUUUGUACCUUCAAGCCUUGCUUGGUGUUGGGUGUUUGUCUCGCCUCUGCGCGCAGACUCGCCUCAAAACAAUUGGCAGCCGGCGUAUUGAUUUCGGAGCGCAGUACAUCUCGCGCUUUGCACUCAGAACGACGACGUCCAAAAGUACAUUUUUACACUCUUGACCUCGGAUCAGGUAGGGAUACCCGCUGAACUUAAGCAUAUCAAUAAGCGGAGGA
RNAcentral lists this unclassified non-coding RNA (336 nucleotides) under soil metagenome. RNAcentral's name for it is "partial contains 5.8S ribosomal RNA, internal transcribed spacer 2, and large subunit ribosomal RNA". The stretch from base 5 to 119 matches the Rfam family "5.8S ribosomal RNA", at positions 40 to 154 of the family's 154-position model. The record is from RNAcentral.